AAAAAUCAGAAAAUGACAGAAAAAUGCACUAAAUGACAACAGAAAUUACACGGACACACAAAAAGUCCAUGAAAAUACUUCAUGGAUUUUUAAAAACGCACAAAAAUAUUUUCAAAGCAACAACAAAAACACAAAAAUGCACAAAACGACUCCCAAAGCAACAACAAAGACCAAACCCAGUUUGUUCUUUCCUGUAUUAAUCAUCACAUUGCUCAUUAUUCUUAGAGCUAACAGGAAUGUUAAUAAUGUGGCCCUUGGAUUAGAGAAUCACAUUUUUGUGGCCCUUCUGUCAGGUCUGUAGGAACAUGUGAAGACACCACCGUGAUGUUUCCUAAUCCUAACCCAGACGCAUGUGAAACCUAUAGAACUGUUAAUGCGCUCGGAUCAGACAUGUUACUACACUAAACUUUUGCAAUCCACGUUUGUCAACAGGUUCCCACACCCAGGGCGGCUCUUUAAAAGCAUGUGUUUGGUCCCAGGAGGAGCACAGCACACUCACACACACACACACACACACACACUGAUUUCCUGUCCUUGUGGUAAACACUGUAGGGAUGAUGGCUCUGAUGAUAGCAGUACUCAUGCUCAUCGCCACUGGAACGGCCGCACAAUCAGGACACGAGCCGACCGAUGAAACCCCAGCAGAUUGACCCUGAUGCAGAUGUAUGGUCCCAGUCAUGACAUCGGUCAGCAAACGGCCUCGAUCCGACUGGAGCGCGGCGUAAAGAAUCGACUGAAAGAAUUUUUGGGGUUCGGACAGACUCCAGCACACGAUGUAGGCUUCAAACUGGAGGAUGCUUUUGCUCCAGCAAUUUGUGACAAUAACAUUGUCGGAGAAAUGGAUGAAGCCAUUAAAAAGAUGCAGAGGUGGAAGUCCUGUGUGGAAUCCCAAAUGGAGGCCUCUAAGAUGGUGAAAAAGGCAUAACGAUGAGCUGAAUGCUCUCCUGCAUUGGAUCACGAUAUGAAUAUCCUGCAAUCACUCAAACAAAUUCUUCAAAAUGUAUUCAUGACCAAUCCUGGUUGGCUCUGUAAUCAUCAAUAAAAAUGUUUGACCUGCAAAUAAU
RNAcentral lists this long non-coding RNA (1064 nucleotides) under Gouania willdenowi (blunt-snouted clingfish). RNAcentral's name for it is "lncRNA (ENSGWIG00000006326.1)". The record is from RNAcentral. Lineage: Eukaryota; Metazoa; Chordata; Actinopteri; Blenniiformes; Gobiesocidae.